GGGGAUUUAGCUCAGCGGCAUAAGCGCCUGCCUUGCAAGCAGACGGUCGUGAGUUCAAUCCCUG
Transfer RNA from Cavia porcellus (domestic guinea pig), 64 nucleotides. It matches the Rfam family "tRNA". From Rfam's summary of the family: Transfer RNA (tRNA) molecules are approximately 80 nucleotides in length. Their secondary structure includes four short double-helical elements and three loops (D, anti-codon, and T loops). The record is from Rfam. Lineage: Eukaryota; Metazoa; Chordata; Mammalia; Rodentia; Caviidae.